This 3222-nucleotide unclassified non-coding RNA is filed under the name Drosophila ananassae. RNAcentral describes it as "GF19447". Lineage: Eukaryota; Metazoa; Arthropoda; Insecta; Diptera; Drosophilidae. The record is from RNAcentral.
CGCAUAGGCCAUCACUAACAACACCAACAAAAAAAACGGCGACGAUUUUAUUGGCAAUUAUUUUUGUAACUAUAAAAGCCAGCGGGAUAAUUGAGCGUGUGCCGUGCCGAAGACGGAGCGCGGCGUUGAGUAACCAACCGACCGAACCAGUGACCAGCGAUACCGCAAUAGCACCAACGGCGCUAUGAGCGUGCUGGCGUAUCCACGUACAAACGACGAGGAGAUUUUCCGUCAAUGCACCAAGGACUGUGGCGUGGUGACGGCCACAGAUGACUUCCAGUACUUCGCCCUGCGAUGCGUGGUCUGCAGCGAGAAGUUCCGCUACUUCGACUCCUUCAUCGGGCACAUGCAAACGGUGCAUCUGGGCGACCAUCCCGACUCGGAUGCAAACGCUCCCCCAUUCAGACUGGGUGAGCCCGUAUCACUGUCCUCCCACGACCGGGGCAGCAACGGGGAUCUGGCAAACUUCCAUGAGAUCGAAGACUUGACGGACGCCGAUACGGCACUGCUGGAGCCGCAAAUGGUUAUCAAACAGGAGCUGCAGGAUUUGCCCUGCAGUGAUGAUGACAUGGCCGAGGACUACGACGACGAUGACGACGACAGGCUGCCAGGAUCCGAGGCGAACGAGGAGGACGACGGAGAUGAGGAGACCAUUCUGCCGGAGAGCUCUGUUCCGGUGGUGAGCGCAAAACCGAAAACCAGGAUGAAGGUCACCAAGCGACGCCAGCGACUGGAUUUGAAGAAUGAGCCGCUACUGGACGUGAAAAACGAACCGCUACUGGUUGAGGGGGAGUCCUCCCUUGACGACUACGACUCUCAAAUGAUGGACGAUAACUCGGGCGAGUACAUGGACUACAGUGGGGUGGAGGAGACGAGCCAUGGAGCCGAAGGCGACUUCCUCAACUACGACGAAAUGGUCGAGGAGUCUCUGCUGGGGCGGGAGAGAGGAGUAACGAUGCACAUCAAAGACCGGAAGAUGAUCAAGUUCCUGAUCCAGUCGUACAAGCGUAAUCCCUUCCUCUGGGAUCACGGCAAUCCGCAGUUCCGGGAUAGGGUGAAACGCGCUCGCUUCCUCGACUGGAUCGUGCUGGAGUUCAAGAGCCGCUUCAACAUCGCCCUGGCCAAGGACGCCAUCACCCGAAAGUGGGACAACCUGAGAACGGUGUACAAGCGCGAGUGCAAUCGCAUGGCCCUGGAGAAGACGAACGUCAGUACGCUGUGGUACUUUAGGGAGCUGCUCUUCCUCAACGACGUCUACAGCUACACCGAUAAGAUGGCCAAGACGGUGGUGAAGGAGACGAACUAUCGCCGCCGGUUCUCGGCCAUUUGGAGCGACACCUCAACGUCCAGACUACUCACCAUGGUGAAGCGGUAUCAGUGCUUCUACAAUCGCUUCGAUCCCGACUAUCGCAGCAAGGAGCGGCGCGGCGAAGGCCUCCACCAGAUGGCCGUGGAGCUGCAGGAGCUGAUCGACGUGUCCACCAUCCAGAUCUCGAAAAGAAUUUCGCAGCUGCGCUUCGAUUACUCCAAGCAGAAGAUGGAGCGCCUCAAUUGCGAGCGGCAGGGGCGUCCGUUCACUUCCAAGUACAUCUACUACGACCAAAUGCACUUCAUGGACGAGGACAUACCGCCGUUUAAGUGCCAGCACUGUCCGGAGAUCGUCCAGACGCUGCGAGAGCUGGAUCUGCAUCUGCUGAACCACCAGCCAAGCCUGGGUGGCGGCUACUACUGCCACAUCUGCGCCAUCCAGUUCGCCAGCUCCGAGGAGUUCGACAGCCACAAGCAACUGCAUCUGGGCGUGGGCUCGGACGUCCGAUUCAACUGCGAACUGUGCACGGCCAGCUUCCGGGAGAAGGCCAACUACGACGAGCAUCUGCGCCGGCACAACGAGGAGCUGUUCCUGCCCUCGCUGGCCCUCAAUCACAGCAUCAUUGAAGGCGGCGGCGACGACGAGCCGGAGAGUACGAAGCUAACGCCGGCAGGCACUGGACGACGCGGUAGACCAUCGGGAUCGGCUUCGAAGUCUGCCAUGGAGGUGUCCGACGAUCAGGAUGCGGUUGGCGGGGAUGGAGGCAAGCCGUAUGGUUGCGAGGUGUGCCGCCGAAGCUUCGCCACGCCCGGCCAUCUGAACGCCCAUCGGAUCGUGCACCAGGACGAGCGCGAACGCUGCUACAAGUGCGACUAUCCGCAGUGCAACAAAUCCUUUGUGGCGCGCAACAGCCUCUUCGAGCACCUGAAACAGCACUACAGCAACGAGGAGUUCAAGUGCGACAUCUGCGGCAAGACCUUCAAGUCCACGAAGAAUCUGCAGAACCACAAGCAGAUCCACGACAAGGUUAAGCGCUAUGUCUGUCAGAUCUGUGGCUCAGCGUUCGCCCAGGCAGCCGGCCUCUAUCUUCACAAGCGGCGGCACAACCGUCCCAACGGUGUCGUGGGCGCUGUGGGCCGUUCAGGCCGGACCACCCUGUGAGAUAGGGCGGAUCGGGAGGGCGGCGAUCGGUCCGGGUCCAAACGGGACCGGAUAGCGGGUCGUGGAAGAGGACGGGGCCGUGGCCGGGGUCGAGGUCGUGGUCGCCAUGUGAAAUAGUCCUCCCUGAAACGUACUGUCCGCGAACGACUGAAUCUGAAAAGGCACUUUCGAGGAGAUCGCACUCGUAACUCGUAACUCGUAUCUGUAAAUAGAAAUUAAUUAAAUUUUGUAACCUGAUCCGGCAUUCAAGAAUGAGGAAUACUUAGUGGUAAGAAGCCCAGAUGUCAAGCAGACUCCAAAAGAAGCUCCAUUUAGGCGUAAGUUCCAUCAUCUAGCACAAUUUCCACUCAUGCCAGACACUCAGCCCUAAUCCUAAGAGCAGCUAAGACGAAAUACUAAUUCUUAUCCCAAGAAAGCGCCACCUGAUAACACCAGAGAGAAGUUUGUGAAAUAGUUAACAGGAGGAACCCCUCCCAGGAGGAUCUCCUCCCCAGUCACAAGGAUCACAAGAAUCGUAACAAAAAGUGCGCUUCCAGAAGAGUCAGAAAGUCAAAAAAAAACCUUAAAAUGCCACUUAAGAAGCGUCUUCGAAGAAUGUAAAUCACAAAUCACAAUUCUAAUUUAUAUCCUAGCAAUACCGAAUGAGAUUUUAGUACUAUACGAUCUAUAUACAUAAUUAUACACCCCACAACACACGUAUUCGGAAGGCCCUCGAAUAAAUAGGUUUAAACGAUUAAAAAGCAAAAAAAAAC